UGCAUGGUGGCGCAGUUGGUAGCACUGUGGCCUCGCAGCAAGAAGAUCCUGGGUUCGAUUCCCGGCCGGGGGUCUUUCUGCAU
Molecule: non-coding RNA, 83 nt
Organism: Crenichthys baileyi (White River springfish)
Lineage: Eukaryota; Metazoa; Chordata; Actinopteri; Cyprinodontiformes; Goodeidae
Source: the annotation of a GenBank genome assembly